CAUACUUGUUCCGCUGUAGCAGCACGUAAAUAUUGGCGUAGUGAAAUAAGUAUUAAACACCAAUAUUAUUGUGCUGCUUUAGCGUGACAGGCAUA
Ochotona princeps (American pika) is the source of this 95-nucleotide microRNA precursor. Ensembl annotates it as microRNA 16-2. Its record names the gene MIR16-2. Lineage: Eukaryota; Metazoa; Chordata; Mammalia; Lagomorpha; Ochotonidae. The record is from Ensembl.